GACGAACGCUGGCGGCGUGCCUAAUACAUGCAAGUUGAGCGCUGAAGGUUGGUACUUGUACCAACUGGAUGAGCAGCGAACGGGUGAGUAACGCGUGGGGAAUCUGCCUUUGAGCGGGGGACAACAUUUGGAAACGAAUGCUAAUACCGCAUAAAAACUUUAAACACAAGUUUUAGGUUUGAAAGAUGCAAUUGCAUCACUCAAAGAUGAUCCCGCGUUGUAUUAGCUAGUUGGUGAGGUAAAGGCUCACCAAGGCGAUGAUACAUAGCCGACCUGAGAGGGUGAUCGGCCACAUUGGGACUGAGACACGGCCCAAACUCCUACGGGAGGCAGCAGUAGGGAAUCUUCGGCAAUGGACGAAAGUCUGACCGAGCAACGCCGCGUGAGUGAAGAAGGUUUUCGGAUCGUAAAACUCUGUUGGUAGAGAAGAACGUUGGUGAGGGUGGAAAGCUCAUCAAGUGACGGUAACUACCCAGAAAGGGACGGCUAACUACGUG
This 497-nucleotide ribosomal RNA is filed under the name uncultured bacterium. Its description in RNAcentral is "partial 16S ribosomal RNA". It matches the Rfam family "Bacterial small subunit ribosomal RNA", at positions 28 to 507 of the family's 1533-position model. The record is from RNAcentral.